AUGAAAGGGUGAAUUUGUGAUUUUGCGAAUUAUUCGCAAAGUGAAGAUUUACUCAGAAUAAGAUGGCGGCUUGUCUGACGUCUUAUUCGGAUACAAAACAAAAUUUGUAAGACACUGACGCCUAAGCGAAAAGUUUAGGAGUUGUAAGUGAGUCCUGCUCUGCAGGAAAAUGCAAUUUUUGUAUUAAUGAGUUGAAUAGCACUGAAAAUCGAUUGAGUGCAGAUGCUGCUCUCUACCAAGAUAAAUUUCUUGUCUUGGAUGAAGUAAGUCUGCAACGUAGAGGCAUACGAGGUAAAUACAGAUGGUCACCCAACUGCUACUUUACCACGUUGCCUCUAGCCGAUUUAAAUACUAUUCGAUUGCUUUGGGUACGUGGCCGUGGAAUACUGCGGCUUUCUGUACCCAACGAAAACUCGUUUUUCUUAUUAAUAACCUAACUAUCAGCUUGCUUCUGCCCUCGUGGCUGGAGGUGAGUCUAAGAAUAGUAAUCUGGUUGA
Molecule: ribosomal RNA, 497 nt
Filed under: Moneuplotes minuta
Lineage: Eukaryota; Ciliophora; Spirotrichea; Euplotida; Euplotidae
Description: partial 17S ribosomal RNA
Source: RNAcentral